ACAGGUUGUUUUCUGUAUAAACAACUGCGAGGCAAUUUUACAAAACCAUGACCAAAUAGUUCUUAAGUUGAUAAAUAAUAUUAUAUACAUUAUCAUGUUUUUUCAUUUUUAACUAAUUCCUUCCACAAAAUUAUGGGCGAAUUGAAAGGAUAUUAAUAUAAUAACAUGAAUGGAUAUGUUAAAAAAUAAGUUGAACUGUUUCGAAGGAUUUUUAAAGCAUUUUGUAAAACAGAACAAUUAUCGAAAGAUUAAAUCGAUCAGCAAAAGUGAACUUUGCCCCUUCCCUGAAAAAAAUCUGGGACGUCUAUGCAUAAAAUAUACUGCUAUAAAAUACAGCAACUAUUAAAACUAUUUUUAAACUAUAUUUGUUGAGCAGUAUUUAAAACUUGAUUAAUGCAAACAAGAGGCAUAGGGAGCUGAACAGUUUGUGUGAACUAACCGAUUAACAUUGUUGUGGUUGUUCAAACAAAAAGUUCACAAAGUUGCGUAGGAGUCGUCGAUACCUUUGUGAAACAGUAUUGCGACUAUUUCUGGUGAUUUUCCGAAACAAUGAAAUAUUUUUAAUGACGCUUUUUAUUAUUGAUUGAUUUUUUUAUUUUUAUAAUUGAGAUUAUUUUAAGAUUAUUUAUCGAUUGCUCAUCUUCAUCGUGUCCAUUCAUCAAAAACAUAAUGACAAAACAAAUCCAGUAAUAGCUCUAAUAUAAAAGUCUGCAUUCCUAUUCUUAACUUCAGACGAGAGUGAAGGACGAGAGAAGAAGUCAAAUUAAAAAAAAAAAAAAAAAGCAAAGAUAAAAAUGGAUGCUAUAAAAUUCUUGAUUAUUGGUUUUGGAUUUUUGCUGUUGUUACAUAUGACGUUUACAAAGCCAACUUUUACUUGUGAAAGUGAAUGUAAUGGAGAAUACGAUCUUUGUGAUAUAUCUUCUGAAAACAUUGAACAAAAAGCGACAUGUUUAAAUUCGAGAUUACAAUGCAUGCUAGAUUGUUCAAGAAAACAACUAGCAAGGUUAAAGAAACUUACAAAGGUUUGAAAAAGUAUCUAUUAUAUACAAAAAAACUUAUCAAAAAUAGUUGCGCAACGACCUAUCCGAUGUACCAUCUGAAAACAUUGAACAAAAGGCGUCGUGUUUAUGUUUGAGAUUAUAAUGCGUGUUUAAAUGUUCAAGAAAUCAACUAACGAUGUUUAAAGUAUCCGUUAUACAAAAAGACUUUUACGUUAUUUACAAAGAAAGUUACGUUAUAAUACUAAGUAUACAAAAAGAUAAUUAUUUAUGUAUUUAUAAUUUUUUCAAUAAUUUAUUGUCACAAAUUUAUUAAAGAAGAUAUAAUAUUUAUAA
Long non-coding RNA from Hydra vulgaris (swiftwater hydra), 1334 nucleotides. RefSeq lists it as uncharacterized. The record is from RefSeq and is a predicted model, not a curated record. NCBI's taxonomy places the organism in Eukaryota, Metazoa, Cnidaria, Hydrozoa, Anthoathecata, Hydridae.